GCGGGGGCGCGGGAGGGGGGCAGCUCUCGCGAGAGUCGGCGCGGGAGUACGGCCCCCGCGUGGUCACGUGCGAGGGAGGGGAGCGGGCGACGCGGCCGCCAUGAUACCUGGAGUGGCGGAAGUGCGCUGUUUGGGGUGUCUCGGUGGUAGUGGCACAUGGCGGGGACUCUGGAAUCUACCUACCCACAUGAAGUGCACAUGGGAUGCAUGGUCAGCUACAACACGGGAGUCAACACAAAAAUUACUGAGUUUUCUUUUCUACUGGGCGAAACAUCUGAUGUGCAGUGUGCAUUUCUCUAGCAAGUGA
This 307-nucleotide long non-coding RNA is filed under the name Crocodylus porosus (Australian saltwater crocodile). Its description in RNAcentral is "lncRNA (ENSCPRG00005006032.1)". Lineage: Eukaryota; Metazoa; Chordata; Crocodylia; Crocodylidae. The record is from RNAcentral.